GAUGAACGCUAGCGGCAGGCCUAAUACAUGCAAGUCGAACGGGUGGUAGCAAUACCACUAGUGGCGCACGGGUGCGUAACGCGUAACCAACCUGCCCUUGACUGGGGGAUAGCCCGCCGAAAGGCGGAUUAAUACCGCAUAAACUCACAGUGUGGCAUCACACAAUGAGUAAAGAUUUAUUGGUCAAGGAUGGGGUUGCGUGACAUUAGCUAGUUGGCGGGGUAACGGCCCACCAAGGCGACGAUGUCUAGGGGAGCUGAGAGGCUGAUCCCCCACACUGGCACUGAGAUACGGGCCAGACUCCUACGGGAGGCAGCAGUAGGGAAUAUUGGGCAAUGGGCGAGAGCCUGACCCAGCCAUGCCGCGUGCCGGAUGAAGGCCUUCUGGGUUGUAAACGGCUUUUCUCAGGGAAGAAAAAGGGUAUGCGUACCACACUGACGGUACCUGAGGAAUAAGCACCGGCUAACUCC
RNAcentral lists this ribosomal RNA (470 nucleotides) under Hymenobacter sp. TdB. RNAcentral describes it as "bacterial SSU rRNA". It matches the Rfam family "Bacterial small subunit ribosomal RNA", at positions 28 to 504 of the family's 1533-position model. Lineage: Bacteria; Pseudomonadati; Bacteroidota; Cytophagia; Cytophagales; Hymenobacteraceae. The record is from RNAcentral.